This 83-nucleotide transfer RNA is filed under the name Mus musculus (house mouse). It matches the Rfam family "tRNA". From Rfam's summary of the family: Transfer RNA (tRNA) molecules are approximately 80 nucleotides in length. Their secondary structure includes four short double-helical elements and three loops (D, anti-codon, and T loops). Further hydrogen bonds mediate the characteristic L-shaped molecular structure. tRNAs have two regions of fundamental functional importance: the anti-codon, which is responsible for specific mRNA codon recognition, and the 3' end, to which the tRNAs corresponding amino acid is attached (by aminoacyl-tRNA synthetases). tRNAs cope with the degeneracy of the genetic code in two manners: having more than one tRNA (with a specific anti-codon) for a particular amino acid; and 'wobble' base-pairing, i.e. permitting non-standard base-pairing at the 3rd anti-codon position. Lineage: Eukaryota; Metazoa; Chordata; Mammalia; Rodentia; Muridae. The record is from Rfam by way of RNAcentral.
GACAGUCUGGUUCAGUGGUAGAGUACUUGCCUAGCAUGCAAGUACCUGGGGGUGAACCCUGGGUUCAAUCCCCAGGACUGUAA